AAGGAUAGAGUCACAGGCUUCCAGGUCCCCAAGCCCCAAUGAAGAGAUGGCCCAGGAACCACCGAAGGCCGAGUCAAUGAAGCAAGUGCAUUCUUGCAAUAAAGGUGCGAGCUGCCGGCCGGGAUUUCCAGC
RNAcentral lists this small RNA (132 nucleotides) under Vulpes vulpes (red fox). RNAcentral's name for it is "Pvt1 onco conserved region 7 (ENSVVUG00000016947.1)". Lineage: Eukaryota; Metazoa; Chordata; Mammalia; Carnivora; Canidae. The record is from RNAcentral.